UCCCCUAGUAACGGCGAGUGAAGAGGGAGAAGCUCAAAUUUUAAAUCUACCUGGUUUUUCCCAGGUCGAGUUGUAGUUUGAAGAAGCGAUAUCGGUGUUGAGGUCUGGUUUAAGUUCUUUGGAACAAGACAUCAUGGAGGGUGAGAAUCCCGUGCAUGAUCAGACCAAGAUACUAAGUAUACGCUUUCCAAGAGUCGAGUUGUUUGGGAAUGCAGCUCAAAAUGGGUGGUAGACUUCACCUAAGGCUAAAUAUCAGCGAGAGACCGAUAGCGAACAAGUACUGUGAAGGAAAGAUGAAAAGAACUUUGAAAAGAGAGUUAAAUAGUACGUGAAAUUGUUGAGAGGGAAACGAUUGAAGUCAGUCAUGCCAGUGAAAACUCAGUUUGUCGGUGAUCUAGUUCAGGAGUAGAGGCAGGGUCAAACCGUCUCUCUUCUGGACGGGAUUUUUGGCAGAUGGAAUUUUUUUCUGGCAGGUCAGCGUCGGUUUCGGGGGUUGUAAAAUACUUGGGGUGAAGUAGUCUGCUUCGGGAGAGUGUUAUAGACCUUGCGGGAUGCAGCCCGCGGGAUCGAGGAUUGCAGCAAAUGCCUU
RNAcentral lists this ribosomal RNA (589 nucleotides) under Diversispora spurca. Its description in RNAcentral is "LSU rRNA". It matches the Rfam family "Eukaryotic large subunit ribosomal RNA", at positions 76 to 609 of the family's 3401-position model. Lineage: Eukaryota; Fungi; Glomeromycota; Glomeromycetes; Diversisporales; Diversisporaceae. The record is from RNAcentral.